AUUGAACGCUGGCGGCAUGCCUUACACAUGCAAGUCGAACGGUAACAGGUCUUCGGAUGCUGACGAGUGGCGAACGGGUGAGUAAUGCAUCGGAACGUACCUUUCAGUGGGGGAUAACGUAGCGAAAGUUACGCUAAUACCGCAUAUUCUGUGAGCAGGAAAGCAGGGGAUCGCAAGACCUUGCGCUGAUUGAGCGGCCGAUGUCAGAUUAGCUAGUUGGUGAGGUAAAGGCUCACCAAGGCGACGAUCUGUAGCGGGUCUGAGAGGAUGAUCCGCCACACUGGAACUGAGACACGGUCCAGACUCCUACGGGAGGCAGCAGUGGGGAAUUUUGGACAAUGGGGGCAACCCUGAUCCAGCCAUGCCGCGUGAGUGAAGAAGGCCUUCGGGUUGUAAAGCUCUUUCGGCCGGGAAGAAAUCGCAUGGGCUAAUACCCUGUGCGGAUGACGGUACCGGCAUAAGAAGCACCGGCUAACUACGUG
RNAcentral lists this ribosomal RNA (482 nucleotides) under uncultured bacterium. Its description in RNAcentral is "bacterial SSU rRNA". It matches the Rfam family "Bacterial small subunit ribosomal RNA", at positions 30 to 507 of the family's 1533-position model. The record is from RNAcentral.